This 252-nucleotide ribosomal RNA is filed under the name uncultured Bacteroidales bacterium. Its description in RNAcentral is "partial 16S ribosomal RNA". It matches the Rfam family "Bacterial small subunit ribosomal RNA", at positions 524 to 776 of the family's 1533-position model. The record is from RNAcentral. Lineage: Bacteria; Pseudomonadati; Bacteroidota; Bacteroidia; Bacteroidales.
UACGGAGGAUGCGAGCGUUAUCCGGAUUUAUUGGGUUUAAAGGGUGCGCAGGCGGCGAGUUAAGUCAGCGGUAAAAUUUCGGGGCUCAACCCCGACAAGCCGUUGAAACUGGCUUGCUAGAGUGGGCGAGAGGUAUGCGGAAUGCGCAGUGUAGCGGUGAAAUGCUUAGAUAUUGCGCAGAACUCCGAUUGCGAAGGCAGCAUACCGGCGGCGAUCUGACGCUGAGGCACGAAAGCGUGGGUAUCGAACAGG